This 914-nucleotide ribosomal RNA is filed under the name uncultured marine bacterium. RNAcentral describes it as "bacterial SSU rRNA". It matches the Rfam family "Bacterial small subunit ribosomal RNA", at positions 50 to 969 of the family's 1533-position model. The record is from RNAcentral.
UAUGCAUGCAAGUCGAGCGAAGCUUUUCAGUAGUUUACUACAGAAAAUGACUGAGCGGCGAACGGGUGAGUAACGCGUGAGCAGUCUACCUUAGUUACUGGGAUAGCCCGAGGAAACUCGGAUUAAUACCAGAUAAUCUUAUUACAUCACAUGAUAUUUUAAGUAAAGGUCAGCCGAACUAAGAUGAGCUCGCGUUCUAUCAGCUUGUUGGUGGGGUAAAAGCCUACCAAGGCUACGACGGAUAGCUGGUCUGAGAGGACGAUCAGCCACACUGGGACUGAGACACGGCCCAGACUCCUACGGGAGGCUGCAGCAGGGAAUAUUGCGCAAUGAGCGAAAGCUUGACGCAGCGACACCGCGUGUGGGAUGACGGUUCUAGGAUUGUAAACCACUUUCAGGAGGGAAGAAAAUGACGGUACCUCCACAAGAAGCCCCGGCCAACUACGUGCCAGCAGCCGCGGUAAUACGUAGGGGGCGAGCGUUGUCCGGAUUUAUUGGGCGUAAAGAGCUCGUAGGCGGUUCAACAAGUCGGUCGUGAAAGUUCAGGGCUUAACCCUGAAAUGUCGAUCGAUACUGUUGUGACUAGGAUAUGGUAGAGGUGAGUGGAAUUCCGAGUGUAGCGGUGAAAUGCGUAGAUAUUCGGAGGAACACCAAUAGCGAAGGCAGCUCACUGGACCACUAUCGACGCUGAGGAGCGAACGCUAGGGGAGCAAACAGGAUUAGAUACCCUGGUAGUCCUAGCUGUAAACGAUGGAUACUAGAUGUAGGAAUUGGAUUGACGAUUUCUGUAUCGUAGCUAACGCGUUAAGUAUCCCGCCUGGGGAGUACGGUCGCAAGACUAAAACUCAAAGGAAUUGACGGGACCCCGCACAAGCGGCGGAGCAUGCGGCUUAAUUCGAUGAUACCCGUAGAAC